UACGGAGGAUGCGAGCGUUAUCCGGAUUUAUUGGGUCUAAAGGGUGCGUAGGCGGGAUGCCAAGUCAGCGGUAAAAAUGCGGUGCUCAACGCCGUCGAGCCGUUGAAACUGGCGUUCUUGAGUGGGCGAGAAGUAUGCGGAAUGCGUGGUGUAGCGGUGAAAUGCAUAGAUAUCACGCAGAACUCCGAUUGCGAAGGCAGCGUACCGGCGCCCUACUGACGCUGAGGCACGAAAGCGUGGGUAUCGAACAGG
This 252-nucleotide ribosomal RNA is filed under the name uncultured bacterium. RNAcentral's name for it is "partial 16S ribosomal RNA". It matches the Rfam family "Bacterial small subunit ribosomal RNA", at positions 524 to 776 of the family's 1533-position model. The record is from RNAcentral.